AUGGCUAGUAAUUGGAGUUUCAGACAAUUUGGGGAUGUAAUUUGUAGCCAAUAUCCUUGGGGUUUGCUUGAUGAAGUGGUAUACAAAUACUAUGAUGGGGAAAAGAAAUGGGUGACAGUUAGUAAUGAUGAAGAGCUAGCUACCAUGUUUGUUAGGCAUAAAGAGAAAGAUAAUUUUCAUGUGAGGCUGCAAGUUGAUGUGCUUGAGCAGGCAUUUGGACCUAGGAUGACGGGUGCAACAUCUCGGGGAGAACCAAGUCGUUUAAUGGCAUCUCUAGCCAGAACAGUUCAGUUCGUGCACGUCGACGUGGUGGCUCGACAAGUGUGGGCAACAGCAGUAGGGUCCCCCUUGAAGUGGAGCCUGAUGACUACAAUUCUGGGGUUGAUGAAGAGAAGCUAUAUUCUGAUGUUAUUCGGAAUUUAUGACGGGCACCUCGGGCUGAAAACCAAGAUGAGGCUCACAAUGCAGUUCGUGUGGAUGAUGACACGGUGGGUGAGGACGAAGACCUUGCAACUGUUGAAUGGGACCCUUUGA
This 534-nucleotide ribosomal RNA is filed under the name Triticum aestivum (bread wheat). RNAcentral describes it as "partial small subunit ribosomal RNA". Lineage: Eukaryota; Viridiplantae; Streptophyta; Magnoliopsida; Poales; Poaceae. The record is from RNAcentral.